RNAcentral lists this ribosomal RNA (253 nucleotides) under uncultured bacterium. RNAcentral's name for it is "partial 16S ribosomal RNA". It matches the Rfam family "Bacterial small subunit ribosomal RNA", at positions 524 to 776 of the family's 1533-position model. The record is from RNAcentral.
UACGAAGGGGGCGAGCGUUGUUCGGAUUUACUGGGCGUAAAGGGCGCGCAGGCGGCGAGUUUUGUCAGGCGUGAAAGCCCCGGGCUCAACCUGGGAACUGCAUUUGUGACUGGCGGGCUAGAGUAUGGCAGAGGGGGGUAGAAUUCCACGUGUAGCAGUGAAAUGCGUAGAGAUGUGGAGGAAUACCGAUGGCGAAGGCAGCCCCCUGGGCCAAUACUGACGCUCAUGCACGAAAGCGUGGGGAGCAAACAGG